Molecule: unclassified non-coding RNA, 328 nt
Filed under: soil metagenome
Description: partial contains 5.8S ribosomal RNA, internal transcribed spacer 2, and large subunit ribosomal RNA
Rfam family: 5.8S ribosomal RNA (bases 1-120)
Source: RNAcentral
GAUGAAGAACGCAGCGAAAUGCGAUAAGUAAUGUGAAUUGCAGAAUUCAGUGAAUCAUCGAAUCUUUGAACGCACAUUGCGCCCCUUGGUAUUCCGAGGGGCAUGCCUGUUCGAGCGUCAUUAUAACCCCUCAAGCUCAGCUUGGUGUUGGGGCCUGCUGCACUGGCAGCCCUUAAAAUCAGUGGCGGCGCCAUCUGGCUCUAAGCGUAGUAAUUCUUCUCGCUAUGGAGUCCUGGUGGAUGCUUGCCAUCAACCCCCAAUUUUUCUAUGGUUGACCUCGGAUCAGGUAGGGAUACCCGCUGAACUUAAGCAUAUCAAUAAGCGGGGA